AAGGUGAUCUGCAAAAUUCUUUCUAACGACUUCCAAUAUUGCAGCCUCACUCAUUUUGUCUGUGUCAGUCACCAAGUCAGUAAGUCCUUUAUAUGAGAUAUUUCGAGGCUUAUUGACUGCUUCCAUCACCACCUCAGCACCGGUCUUAGCAGCAGUCUCAACCACUUGAAUGAGCUGGCUAGGUGGUAUGGGUGGCAGCCACUUUGGGAUACUGCCUUUGAUUAGGAAGCUCAGAUAACACUGCCUUUGUAGGUAAAUUCUUUGCAGAUAAAUUCCUUCUUGUUGGUGCCGCCUUGAAGCGAAUUCCGCCAUUCACCAUGGCACAUUGGCAAUUUUCACUGAAUCUCUGUGAAACACACUUUUUUAGGUGAUGAAAAGAUGAAACUGAUCUGGGUAAGUGAGAAAAUCUAAGAGGGAUGUUUGUUGAAAAUACUAGCGAUCUGCCCAUUUGAAAGCAAAUAGAGGAAGACGAUUUUCAGGGCCUCGUCUAAGACUCUG
RNAcentral lists this unclassified non-coding RNA (498 nucleotides) under Hevea brasiliensis (rubber tree). The record is from RNAcentral. Lineage: Eukaryota; Viridiplantae; Streptophyta; Magnoliopsida; Malpighiales; Euphorbiaceae.